Canis lupus familiaris (dog) is the source of this 4057-nucleotide long non-coding RNA. RefSeq lists it as uncharacterized. The record is from RefSeq and is a predicted model, not a curated record. The transcript has 7 exons. NCBI's taxonomy places the organism in Eukaryota, Metazoa, Chordata, Mammalia, Carnivora, Canidae.
UGGGUAGAGUAAUGCUCCACAAGAACAUCUUUCCAGUGGGCCCUGUGUCUUAAUGGGGAUGCAGGUUCCGGUGUCCUUGAGGUCGGUGCCUUGAACCCGGGAAGGUCCUGGCAUCCACUGUGUUGGGCCUCAGGCAGCAACGAGAUAAUUUCAGUGGUUGGUUCCUAAUGGGGUGAAGUCCUGGAGUUUAUAGAAGAUGAACACACUUCUUCGUAGGAGAAGAGAACAGAGGAAAUAUUUUACUCACUCUGUCCUUAGUCAUGUAUGGAGAUGGGGAGCAAGUAAUUAGGGGAUCCCCAUAGAGAGAGGAAGGUCUGUUGGAUUGCUUCGUGUCUGUAUUAUCUUGAGUAAAAUCCUCAUGACGUGUGGGGAGACCAGAAUGUUGCAUUUGUGAGUGACCGUUGUAUUGGAAACGUGCUCCACAUUGAGGCAAAGCUGUGGUCAGAGCCUUUUGUAAGAAAAGUACCAACCAGUUAUCCUUGGUGAAACCCAUGGCUUUGUGAGUAUCGGCUGCUCAAGAGAAAUACUGGUGGUGUCCUCGGUCCGGGAAGCUGGGUCGAGGUGCAUGUGGUAUUGAGCUUACUGCCUCGAACUCUUGUUAGUCCUGGCAGGCACUUCUGCCUUCGGCGUCAUCAGAAUGAUUCCACUUGUCUAUUCUAACGAUGCAAGAGCCUAAGUUUCUACAAGGUAAGCAAUAGUUGACAUUUGAAGCAGAGGGGGGAAAACACAGCGAUAGGGUUGGUGUUUGUGUCCUCAUCAUCGUCCAGGUAAUCCCAGAGAAGGUAAGGGAUUCCUUCGUGAAGAAAGAUGCACGUUAGAGGGCAAUCGGUUAGAAUCGUCCAGCAUUAAGGGAAAAUGGUGGGUACAGUGUUAAUGUUGUGGCUGGGGUAGGGCAAAAGCUUCGCAUGAGAGUGAACAGGGCCCUGCACAGGAUCUGUUUGAGCCAUGAUGUGUGCAGUGCCCUGCUCAGGAUGGCGCUGAUUACAUACUCUAGGAGUGAUUAGCAUCUGCCUGGGCCGAGUGAUGCUCACUAAGAACCACCGUUUGUGUUGCCCCAGCCACCCCUGCUCCAUGGGAAUGGGGGUGCAUUUGUCUUCAAGGUGCCUGUCUUGAACCCAGGAAGGGAGGGCUUGGUCAGUCACUUGUGUCUUUGGCAUCCUCAUGAUGGCCUCAGGGGUCUGUCUGUUCCUUACAAUGCGAAUUGGCACAGAUGGGGGAGAUGAGGAGGAUAAUCCCUAAUAGAUGGAGGGAAUACAGAGACAACCUUGAUUUCUCUGUCCUCAUGGUCAUGUCUACAGAGGAGCAGUUGAGCGUGCCUCACCGCAAGAAUUAUGUACGUGUAGCCACUGGGUCUGCAUUGUUUUAAGGCAUGAGAACAUCGUUUUUGUAUAGUCCUCAUGACGUAGAGGGGGUGAGAUGAAAUCUGUGUAUCAGAGUGAGUGCGAGUGGCUAAUGCAUAGGUCUCAAAGUAUGGUAUGUGUCGUGCCCUACGUCAAGAGGUGCUCAUGAGGUAAUUUAAGUGUUCGCCAUACCAGGGUGAGAAGAGAAAUGCUCACCAAGAGGAAGGCUUUUGAUGGCUUUCAGGUCGGUGAAGGGGCCAGAGGUGUGUGUGUUCUUGAAAAUUCUUCCUUGAACCCCGGAAUGGCUCUGGUAGGGCCAGCCGGUUUUGAUGACGAGCAUAAGAUGAUUCAGUGUUCCAUUCUUUUUUGUUUUUUUCUUUUUUGUUUAGGAUCUUACUUAUUUACUUGACAGAGAGAGACACAAGCAGGUUGAGCAGCAGCCAGAGGGCAUAGAGAGAAAGAGGCCCCCUGCUCAGCAGGGAACCCGAAGGGGGGUUCGAUCCCAGGGCCCCAGGACCAUGACCUGAGCCAAAGGCAGACACUUAAUGGACUGAGCCAUCCUGGUGCCCUCUGUGUUCCAUUCCUAAUAACUUUAACACCUUAGGUUUAGAGAAGAAUGUGCAAAAUAAGUUAUUUUCUCUGGGUCCUCCUAAUCUAUCAGGUAAUCCUAGAGGAAACAAGGGAUCCUCACUAAAGCCCAGCUACGACAAAAGGCCGGCCAGUCGCUCAGUGUGUAAGAUGCUGAUCAUUCAUGUCUUGGGUGGUUGUGACUUCUGGAGCGAUCGUCGUUUGCAGCGACUUGCAGCUAGCGAUAGAAGAGCUGCCGCAGUUCUUGCACUCCAUUCCUGGACUUAGGGUGUCCUACUUCCCCAGUCAGUCUCACCUCGGAUUUUUAUUGGCAGUGGCGCUUUUCUCAUUAUGAACACCAGGUUGUUUGAGAUUAUGCAGAAAAUGUUUUUUGGGGGUCUUCAAAAUCAUCCAGGCGGAUUCUAUGUGGAUCACCAUUGAUGAAGAUUUGCAUAUCUGUGCAUUAUGUGGGCAUUCUGUCCCGUUCUGUGAAAGCACUGGUCACAGUCCAUGUGAUUUUUGGGUUCAGAUAUGAACAGUAGCUCCCUGGGUCUGAUGGCAAGAAUUUUCAGGAUGAGUUGAAUGGCAUAGUUCUUUGUUUUAAAAUUUUAUUUAUUUAUUCACGAGAGACUGAGAGAGACAGACACCUAGACAGAGGGAGAAGCAGCUCUUAUCAGGGGGCCUGUGUGGGACUUGAUCUUUGCACCCCAGGAUUACACCCUGAGCCACAGGCAGACACUCAACCUCUGACCCUCCCAGACAUCCCACAAUGGUAUAUUUCUAACAGUUGAAACAAAUAAGUGUAAAAGACGAGGAAGAGGUUUUUUUUUUUUUAAUUUUAAGCAUAUAGACAAACCGGUAAUAAUCGUUUUCAUUCUGUAUCCUCAUAAAUAUCCAGGUAAAUGUAUCAUAAGUGAAUAUAUCCCCACUGAGUGGAGGUUUGAGAGUUGGAGGGCAACAUGUUGGCAUCCCCUAGGGUUGUGGAAAAAACCUGAGUACAGUCACCAUGAUGUAGUGAGGAGAUAGAGUAAAGGUACGUUUCACAUGUGUGGGAGACUGGGCAGGCCCUAUAUGUUGAAGCCAUGUUAUGUGCAGUGCUCUGUCCAGACAUCAUGUGAUCACAUAGACUGUGUGAUCGGUACCUAUCUCUGUGGGGUAAAUUGAAACAGGAACAUUUAUGGUGGCCUUCAGACCAUUGAUGAAGCUUUCAUUGUAUUAUUUUCUAGCUACCCCACCCUCAGGAGGCCUUUAGCAGGCACCCCAAUCUUCUGCUGCAUCUUCAAGGUGAUAUCAGGGUUUCACUCCUAUGUGAAAACCUGUGAGGGAGAGAAGAUGUGGACACUUCUUGUCAGAAGAAGAGAACAGAGGAACGAUGUUGUCUGUGUCCUCAGAAUCAUCCAGUUGAUUCUAGAAUGAUGGUCAUGUCAUCUGUGUCAUGGAUCCAUUGUAAUGUUAAAACCAAGCCACAGGCUGAAUGUCAUCAGUAAGUGGAACGAGAACCAUCCUGCUACCCUUGCGACAUUACAGCUGAAUGACUGCAUUUCACUCGGACACUGGAUGAGGUUCUGUUUUCCUCACACCAGCCUGCCAUUGGCUUGCACGUGGAAAAAGAAUAUGAUUCACAGAACUCCAACAUGUGGUUGGCCUAGGCACAUCUUCCUGCCAUGCCAGCCACAGGUGCUGUUGUGAAAGGCAGAAAGAAGGAAGACUCUUGCCAUUCAACCCUCUGUCUUCCAGGAGGCUCUUCUGAUGAAUGAAACCUGGGCCCAUUGGAAGUGAUUCUUGUGGUCACAGCUUAGAUGACAGAGGUACAUUUGAGUCUGGAAACGUUAACUCAUCAAUCAUAACCAUCCUGUGAGGACAAAUAUGACCACUGUCACCUCAUUGCAGAUGAAGAAACUGAGGCCCAUAGAGAUUAAGUGACUUGCCCAAGAUCACACAGUUGACAUGGAUGCUAAAUCCUAGGGCUUCUUGUUUUUUUGGUGAAUGGUCCUGUCCUCAGACCCUCCUCAGUCAGCAAAUCAGAAAGAAUCAGUGUGCUUAAAGACCAAAACAAAGUAGAACUCAAGAAAAUAUAAAGUCUUACACAGGAAAAUGUUUGUUUCCUGAUCAGGGAUCAAGAUUUGGGAAAGAUUUGGGAAAGAUUUCUC